CUCGUGUCGUGAGAUGUUGGGUUAAGUCCCGCAACGAGCGCAACCCUUGAUCUUAGUUGCCAGCAUUCAGUUGGGCACUCUAAGGUGACUGCCGGUGACAAACCGGAGGAAGGUGGGGAUGACGUCAAAUCAUCAUGCCCCUUAUGACCUGGGCUACACACGUGCUACAAUGGAUGGUACAAAGGGCAGCGAAGCCGCGAGGUGGAGCCAAUCCCACAAAACCAUUCUCAGUUCGGAUUGCAGGCUGCAACUCGCCUGCAUGAAGCCGGAAUCGCUAGUAAUCGCGGAUCAGCAUGCCGCGGUGAAUACGUUCCCGGGCC
This 320-nucleotide ribosomal RNA is filed under the name uncultured bacterium. Its description in RNAcentral is "bacterial SSU rRNA". It matches the Rfam family "Bacterial small subunit ribosomal RNA", at positions 1059 to 1380 of the family's 1533-position model. The record is from RNAcentral.